GCGGGCGUGGCGGAAUUGGUAGACGCGGCGGACUUAAAAUCCGCUUCCGUAUGGAGUGUCGGUUCGAGUCCGACCGCCCGCACCA
Molecule: transfer RNA, 85 nt
Filed under: Phenylobacterium sp.
Lineage: Bacteria; Pseudomonadati; Pseudomonadota; Alphaproteobacteria; Caulobacterales; Caulobacteraceae
Description: tRNA-Leu
Rfam family: tRNA
About the family: Transfer RNA (tRNA) molecules are approximately 80 nucleotides in length. Their secondary structure includes four short double-helical elements and three loops (D, anti-codon, and T loops).
Source: RNAcentral